UUGGAGGGCAAGUCUGGUGCCAGCAGCCGCGGUAAUUCCAGCUCCAAUAGCGUAUAUUAAAGUUGUUGCAGUUAAAAAGCCCGUAGUUGAAUUUCGAGAUCAGUACGCUGGUCGUGCCUUCGGUACGCACUGGUGUCACUGGUUUCUCCCUUCUGAAGAACCGUCAUGUCAUUAAGUUGGUGUGGCGGGGAAUCAGGACUGUUACUUUGAAAAAAUUAGAGUGUUUAAAGCAGGCUCGCGCUUGAAUACAUUAGCAUGGAAUAAUGAAAUAGGACGUUUGACCCUAUUUUGUUGGUUUCUAGGAUCGACGUAAUGAUUAAUAGGGAUAGUUGGGGGCAUUAGUAUUCAAUUGUCAGAGGUGAAAUUCUUGGAUUUAUUGAAGACUAACUACUGCGAAAGCAUUUGCCAAGGAUGUCUUCAUUAAUCAAGAACGAAAGUUAGGGGAUCGAAGACGAUCAGAUACCGUCGUAGUCUUAACCAUAAACUAUGCCGACUAGGGAUCGGAUGAUGUUAAUUUUUUAAUGACUCAUUCGGCGCCUUACGGGAAAC
RNAcentral lists this ribosomal RNA (549 nucleotides) under uncultured Glomus. RNAcentral's name for it is "SSU rRNA". It matches the Rfam family "Eukaryotic small subunit ribosomal RNA", at positions 548 to 1098 of the family's 1831-position model. The record is from RNAcentral. Lineage: Eukaryota; Fungi; Glomeromycota; Glomeromycetes; Glomerales; Glomeraceae.